This 441-nucleotide ribosomal RNA is filed under the name uncultured bacterium. RNAcentral describes it as "bacterial SSU rRNA". It matches the Rfam family "Bacterial small subunit ribosomal RNA", at positions 28 to 484 of the family's 1533-position model. The record is from RNAcentral.
GACGAACGCUGGCGGCGUGCCUAAUACAUGCAAGUCGAACGGGGUAAUUCCUUCGGGGAUUACUUAGUGGCGAACGGGUGAGUAACGCGUGAGAAACCUGCCUUUCAGUGGGGGACAACAGUUGGAAACGACUGCUAAUACCGCAUAAUGUUAUUAGGGGGCAUCCCUUGAUAACCAAAGAUUUAUUGCUGAAAGAUGGUCUCGCGUCUGAUUAGCUAGUUGGUGAGGUAACGGCUCACCAAGGCGACGAUCAGUAGCCGGUCUGAGAGGAUGAACGGCCACAUUGGGACUGAGAUACGGCCCAGACUCCUACGGGAGGCAGCAGUGGGGAAUAUUGGGCAAUGGGGGAAACCCUGACCCAGCAACGCCGCGUGAAGGAAGAAGGCCUUCGGGUUGUAACGUUCUUUUACCUAGGGACGAACAAAUAGACGGUACCUGGAG